UCAAAACAGAGAAAGGUAUAAAUUUUCUUCUGCCUCAGGCCACCUACUGACAAAAUGCACAGAAGGGAUGAGAUCUCCAGGCUUCCCAAGGGAAUCACAAUGGCCCACAUCACAAGUGUUAUUGAGAAUAUAGGGCCUGGUGAAGAAGCAGUCAGAACAGGACCAGCAAUGGCUUCUCUUAUUCUGGAGUUAAUUCCAACCAGACUCUAGGAAGAAAUCCUGCCUGUUGUUCUGGAGCAUCACUUAAGGGAUUGAGUCUGAAGAUCCAGGAACAACCCUUUAAAAUCAACCAGUACAUUUUACACCUCUGAAGAGCCUCAUCUCUGCCCAAAGUGAGAUGCUGGAAGACCAACAGGGUUUUAAAAAGUGUUAAAAAAAAAAAACAAAACCAAAAACCAAAACAAAAAUAAAAAGCAAAGCAAAC
This 424-nucleotide long non-coding RNA is filed under the name Cricetulus griseus (Chinese hamster). RNAcentral's name for it is "lncRNA (ENSCGRG00000026180.1)". Lineage: Eukaryota; Metazoa; Chordata; Mammalia; Rodentia; Cricetidae. The record is from RNAcentral.